GAUGAACGCUGGCGGCGUGCCUAAUACAUGCAAGUCGAGCGAACAGAUAAGGAGCUUGCUCCUUUGACGUUAGCGGCGGACGGGUGAGUAACACGUGGGUAACCUACCUAUAAGACUGGAAUAACUCCGGGAAACCGGGGCUAAUGCCGGAUAACAUUUAGAACCGCAUGGUUCUAAAGUGAAAGAUGGUUUUGCUAUCACUUAUAGAUGGACCCGCGCCGUAUUAGCUAGUUGGUAAGGUAACGGCUUACCAAGGCAACGAUACGUAGCCGACCUGAGAGGGUGAUCGGCUACACUGGAACUGAGACACGGUCCAGACUCCUACGGGAGGCAGCAGUAGGGAAUCUUCCGCAAUGGGCGAAAGCCUGACGGAGCAACGCCGCGUGAGUGAUGAAGGUCUUCGGAUCGCAAAACUCUGUUAUUAGGGAAGAACAAAUGUGUAAGUAACUGUGCACGUCUUGACGGUACCUAAUCAGAAAGCCACGGCUAACUACGUG
Molecule: ribosomal RNA, 497 nt
Filed under: uncultured bacterium
Lineage: Bacteria
Description: partial 16S ribosomal RNA
Rfam family: Bacterial small subunit ribosomal RNA
Source: RNAcentral